Molecule: ribosomal RNA, 465 nt
Filed under: uncultured bacterium
Lineage: Bacteria
Description: partial 16S ribosomal RNA
Rfam family: Bacterial small subunit ribosomal RNA
Source: RNAcentral
GACGAACGCUGGCGGCGUGCUUAACACAUGCAAGUCGAACGGAAAGGCCCCUUUGGGGGUACUCGAGUGGCGAACGGGUGAGUAACACGUGAGUAACCUGCCCUUGACUUCGGGAUAACUUCAGGAAACUGGGGCUAAUACCGGAUAGGAAUCCUUUCUGCCUGGUGGGGGUUGGAAAGCUUCGGGGGUUUGGGAUGGACUCGCGGCUUAUCAGUUUGUUGGUGGGGGAGGGGCUUACCAAGGCUUUGUCGGGUAGCCGGCCUGAGUGGGCGACCGGCCAAAAUGGGACUGAGAUACGGCCCAGACUCCUACGGGGGGCAGCAGUGGGGAAAAUUGCACAAUGGGCGGAAGCCUGAUGCAGGAACGCCGCGGGCGGGAUGACGGCCUUCGGGUUGGAAACCGCUUUCAGCAGGGGCGAAGCUUGUGGUGACGGUACCUGCUGAAGAAGCACCGGCUAACUACGUG